This 91-nucleotide small RNA is filed under the name Salinivibrio sp. KP-1. The record is from RNAcentral. Lineage: Bacteria; Pseudomonadati; Pseudomonadota; Gammaproteobacteria; Vibrionales; Vibrionaceae.
CUACACUUUAGUAAUCACAACCUAAAUAUUGGCAUAUGGCUCCUUGAGCCUUUUCCCUGAACCCGGAACAGGACGUUCCGGGUCUUUUUUU